Molecule: long non-coding RNA, 959 nt
Organism: Micropterus dolomieu (smallmouth bass)
Lineage: Eukaryota; Metazoa; Chordata; Actinopteri; Centrarchiformes; Centrarchidae
Exons: 3
Source: RefSeq, a predicted model, not a curated record
CCUUUUUGCCUUUUACCUGCCUGUAGGUUGCCACAUGUAACCCUCUGUGAUGUUUAGUCUGCUGCCCGCGUGUUUCAUGUAGUUUGGCUGAUUCCAAGGUUCCCUGUCUGGAGUGGCGUGAUGUGUUGUCCUACACAGAGCACUGUGUGUUAAGUGAUGAACCCUCAAGCCAACGGUCUAUAAUGCCAGUGGCUUGGAUUCAGUCUCCCUCUGAGCAGAAAAGGGUUUGCAUUUGGACUCAGGCUUCAAGCGCGAAUCUGUCUGCUCCUGAUAGAAGCCUCGGCCUCACUUGUUAUCAUCAGACACUUCAUAAGUGAUUCCCAAUUGGACGCUUUUCUGAACCGGGACCCAGAAAUCAAAUCGUGAAUGACUUUGACACUGCAGUAUCCCUCCAGCAGUGUGCUUAAACAGCUCUCCUUCCUGCUGAAUGACAGCAACCUGCCAAUAAAACCCAUUUAGUGUUUGAAGAGGGGAUGUUGUCUACAAUGGCUGCCUGGACCACAAGUCCUUAUUAGUCUUUCUCUGAAGUGCCAGUGGACCCCUGUUAUCCCUUGAUGGUCAAUCAAAGCCGCUCCUUGCUGGUACUGCUGAAUCUCUGAUUCACAGAAAAUGGAUUUCCAUCGAUGGAGUUCUGUGAAAAUGAUGGUCCAUUAAGUUAUAAAGUACAGCACACUUUUAAAUUUCAGUAAAGGUUCAUCUUAGAGUGACUGAAUACACUUAACAAAUUUAAUAUAUAAUUAGAAUGGUAUCUCUUCUUAAUAUUUUGUAGGUUUUGUAAAUGUAAGUUUAGACAAUUACAUUUGAAUUGUGGCUCAGACACAGCAUGGGUCUCAUUUAACAUCUUGUCAACAGCAAGUUCUGCAACAGGAAAUCAGUGUGCACCCAUUAAAGUCUUCUGAAUUUGUCAGAAAUUUGAAGUCUCCUCACUCUUUGUCAGAAAAUAUACUUUAAUGAUGCUA